Molecule: ribosomal RNA, 1245 nt
Filed under: metagenome
Description: bacterial LSU rRNA
Rfam family: Bacterial large subunit ribosomal RNA
Source: RNAcentral
UGAGUACGAGAUGCUACGGCAUCGAAGCAGUCUAUGUCAUACUUCCAAGAAAAGCUUGCACUGUCAGAAACAGAUAAUGCCUGUACCAUAACCGACACAGGUGGGUAGGUAGAGUAUACUAAGGGGCGCGAGAUAACUCUCUCUAAGGAACUCGGCAAAAUGACUCCGUAACUUCGGGAGAAGGAGUGCCUUAUUUUUAAGGUUGCAAUAACAAGAUCCAAGCAACUGUUUACCAAAAACACAGGUCUCCGCUAAGUCGUAAGACGAUGUAUGGGGGCUGACGCCUGCCCAGUGCCAGAAGGUUAAAGAAGUCGGUUAGCAUUCGCGAAGCUGGUAACUGAAGCCCUGGUGAACGGCGGCCGUAACAAUAACGGUCCUAAGGUAGCGAAAUUCCUUGUCGGGUAAGUUCCGACCCGCACGAAAGGCGUAAUGAUUUGGAUACUGUCUCGGAGAGGGGCUCGGUGAAAUAGACUUGUCUGUGAAGAUGCGGACUACCUGCACCUGGACAGAAAGACCCUAUGAAGCUUUACUGUAACUUGAAAUUGAAAUUGGACUUUAUUUGCGCAGUAUAGGUGGGAGGCGUUGAAAAUAUUCUUGCGGGAAUAUUGGAGCCAUCAGUGAGAUACCACUCUUGUAAUGUUAGAUUUCUAACUUUAUAUCAUUAUCUGGUUAAAGAACAGUUUCAGGCGGGCAGUUUGACUGGGGCGGUCGCCUCCCAAAUGGUAACGGAGGCGCACAAAGGUUUCCUCUGAACGGGUAGAAAUCGUAUCUAGAGUGUAAAGGCAUAAGGAAGCUUGACUGUGAGACCUACAAGUCGAGCAGGGACGAAAGUCGGUCUUAGUGAUCUGACGGUGCUGAGUGGAAAGGCCGUCACUCAACGGAUAAAAGUUACUCUAAGGAUAACAGGCUGAUCUCCCCCAAGAGUUCACAUCGACGGGGAGGUUUGGCACCUCGAUGUCGGCUCAUCGCAUCCUGGGGCGGUAGUACGUCCCAAGGGUUGGGCUGUUCGCCCAUGAAAGCGGUACGCGAGCUGGGUUCAGAACGUCGUGAGACAGUUCGGUCCAUAUCCGGUGUAGGCGUUAGAAUAUUGAGAGGAGCCUUCUUUAGUACGAGAGGACCGAGAAGGACAUACCUCUGGUGUACCAGUUAUCGUGCCAACGGUAAACGCUGGGUAGCUAUGUAUGGAGUGGAUAACCGCUGAAAGCAUCUAAGUGGGAAGCCCACCUCAAGAUAAGUAUUCUCACC